This 436-nucleotide long non-coding RNA is filed under the name Olea europaea (common olive). RNAcentral describes it as "long non-coding RNA (OEUR_LNC007383)". Lineage: Eukaryota; Viridiplantae; Streptophyta; Magnoliopsida; Lamiales; Oleaceae. The record is from RNAcentral.
UGGGCAUUAUUUUGACUUUCGAGAGGUUAGGAGAGAGGGAUCUACUUUGUAUUCAUGUAUUCUUCACUGACUUCAAAUCUUCAUCUCUUUUCUGAUUUUGGUUCUGUUACUUGGUGUGUUGAAAGAAGGAAAUGCAAAAUGCCAACUAGUCCGUCAUCACUCAAAAAGCACAAAGAAAAUCGGAAAUAGCGGCCACAGGAAGUUAUAAAAGGAUUGUCAUUAGAACAGUCUAGAGGGUCUACCUAAUCCAUUUUUCUGUUUCAUUGUUUGUGUAUAAUUGAGGAGAAUAUUUUCUAUUUAUUUUGUUUCUUGUACAACAAUUAUUAACAGAUUUUGGUACCUCUUCUGUAUAAAUAUAGAAUUCUAGUGGAUGUAAGAUUUAAUGGAAAUGCAUAUAUAGUUUUUCUCUCAAUUUAGAUUGUUUAGCAAUUUUUUU